This 80-nucleotide transfer RNA is filed under the name Botryococcus braunii. RNAcentral's name for it is "tRNA-Leu". It matches the Rfam family "tRNA". From Rfam's summary of the family: Transfer RNA (tRNA) molecules are approximately 80 nucleotides in length. Their secondary structure includes four short double-helical elements and three loops (D, anti-codon, and T loops). Lineage: Eukaryota; Viridiplantae; Chlorophyta; Trebouxiophyceae. RNAcentral also lists the same sequence under 1 other name. The record is from RNAcentral.
GCCCUGGUGAUGGAAUGGUAGACAUGGUUGAUUCAAAAUCAACUGCUUUUUGCGUGGAGGUUCGAGUCCUCUCCAGGGCA